Molecule: RNA transcript, 4583 nt
Organism: Arachis duranensis
Lineage: Eukaryota; Viridiplantae; Streptophyta; Magnoliopsida; Fabales; Fabaceae
Gene name: putative disease resistance protein At3g14460
Exons: 6
Source: RefSeq, a predicted model, not a curated record
UCUCUCUUCCUUACAUUCUGAGAAUCCAAUCACUCACUGAUUCAUUUGCUGUUGUUGUGAUCUGUAUCAUAUCAUGGCUGAAGCACUUGUUGUUGGAGCUUUAGUUUCUGGCUCCAUCAGCCUUGUUCUUAACAGGCUCAUUUCACCUGAGUUUGUCAACUCGGUGGUGAGCAAGAAGCUAGACCGGAAGUUGGUUGAGAGGCUCAAGACUGCUCUCUUGGCUGCCAAAGCUCUGGCUGCUGACGCUGAGCAGAAGCAGUUUGGAAACGAACUCGUGAGGGAGUGGCUUGAUAGUCUCAGGGAUGCUCUCUACACUGCUGAUGACUUGCUGGACCGUGUCUUCAUCAAAGCUCAAAUUCGCCAAAAGGUACGCGUUCGCCUUCCUCUCCGCCUUAAUUUAUCUGCUUGGAAGAUGGUGACUAAGAUAAACAAGGUGGUUAAAAGAAUAGAAGAUCUUCAGAAACUUAAAGAUAGCCUUGAUCUGAAAGAGAUUCCAAUGGGUAGCUCCUCAUGGAGAACUCCAUCCACUUCUCUUGAAAGGGGGACUGUCUAUGGCAGGGAUGAUGACGAACAGGCAUUAAUCAAGAUGCUAAAUGACAACAAUGAUCAUAACUUGUCUGUCAUCUCUAUUGUUGGUAUGGGUGGGGUUGGUAAAACUACUUUAGCACAAUGCCUGUACAACAAUAAGGAUUUGAUGGACGGGGUUGAUCUAAAUGCAUGGGUUUGUGUUUCUGAAAAUUUUGAUGUCAUUGAGACUACUAAGAAUGUUAUAAAGGGGAUCUCUUCAGGUGUUUGUAGUCUUGACAACUUUGAUUUACUUCAGCAAGAUUUGAAGAAAAAACUGUCAGAGAAGAAGUUCUUCAUUGUUUUGGAUGAUGUUUGGAGUGAAGAUGCUGACAAGUGGAAUAGUUUUAUCACCCCUUUUCAACAUGGGAAAAAGGGAAGCACUAUUCUCCUAACUACCCGCAAGGUAAAUGUUGGUCGAAUAGUCCAACACUAUAACUCUUACAUUCUCAAGCAACUGUCAGAUGAUGAUUGUUGGUCUAUUUUUGUGGACAAUGCAUCCUUUCCUGAGUCAAAUGGGAGCUCGGAACUGGAAGAAAUAGGUAGAAAGAUUGUCAAGAGGUGUGAUGGCUUGCCGUUAGCUGCAGAAACACUUGGACGCUUGUUGCGUUCAGAGCAUCGUGUUGAAGAAUGGAAUAAAAUACUGUUGAGUGACAUUUGGGAAUUUCCUAUUACAGACAGUAAGAUCGUUCCUGCGUUGUUAAUAAGUUACUAUCAUCUGCCUGCUCAUUUAAAACAUUGCUUUGUUUAUUGUUCGUUGUAUCCCAAAGAUUAUAAACUUGAUAAAGAUGAAUUAAUCUUACUGUGGAUGGCUGAAGAUCUUUUACAACCACCAAGGAGGGGACAGACUCUAGAAGAAGUUGGUUGCGAGUGUUUUGAUGGCUUGGUUUCAAGACUAUUCUUCAAGCAGGUCGAGAAUGAUGACGAGAAGUAUUUUGUGAUGCAUGAUCUCAAGCAUGACUUGGCAACUUUUCUUGCUGGAGAUCUUUGUUGUAGAUUUGGUGAAAAAGAAAAGAUGAGUAUUCUAACUCGGCAUUUGUCAUACAAUCAUUCAAUCCCUGAGGUAACAUGCUCCUCUAGUAAAAUAAAAUAUUUGAGGACAUUAUUCUAUAUCAAUGAUGGAUCUCAUAUCGGGAAAGCACCUGCAACAUUACCAUGUGACAUAUUGUCAAAGAAUAAAUACUUGAGAGUUUUAUCCUUUGGUAGAAUUGAUAUAUUUCCUGAUUCAAUAGAUAAAUUGAUCCAACUGCGCUAUUUGGAUCUUUCUUGGAGUGAUAUUGAGGUAUUGCCCGAGUCAUUGUGCAAGUUGUGUAAUUUACAAACGUUAAAGCUAAAAAAUUGUUUUUCCCUAACUAUGCUGCCUAAUGGCAUGUGUAAGCUUGUGAAUUUGCGGCAUCUUGAUAUCAGGGGUACUCCCCUGAAAGAAAUGCCCAAAGGAAUGAGCAAAUUAAAACAAUUGCACAUUUUAAGCAAGUUUGUAGUGGGAAAGAAAGAAGACAAUGGAAUCCAAGAGCUAGGAGGGCUUUUAAAUCUUCAUGGAUCACUUGAGAUUGAGAGAUUGGAGAAUGUGGUUGAUGCCAAUGAAGCAAGGAGUGCAAGGAUAAUAGAUAAGAAGCACAUUGAGGAGUUAUUGUUGAAAUGGUCUCUGUCUUCAGGUGAUGAUAUGGUUUCAAACGCUCAUACUGAUGAACAAGAUAUACUUGGAGGCUUGCAACCACACACUGGCUUGAAAGAGUUAACUGUUGAAGGAUUCAAAGGUGAAAUAUUUCCAGACUGGAUUGGGCAUUCCUUGUACCAAAACAUGACAAGUGUAUCUCUAGAAUGUUGCUGGAAUUGCUGCGUGCUGCCUUCACUUGGACAGCUGCCAUCUCUCAAGUCCCUGAGCAUCAGAAGUUUUGAUGAGCUGAAGAGCAUUGGCAAGGAGUUUUACAAGAAUGAAGGCCAUCAACAUUCUUCGCCUAUUGCACCGUUUCCCUCAUUGGAGACAUUGGAAUUUGAUGACAUGUCAUGUUGGGAGGAGUGGCAAUUACCUGACUCAGAAGCCUUUCCUCAGCUUAAGAGUCUUCAAAUAAGAGAUUGCCCAAUGUUAAAGGGAGAUAUGCUUAGUCAGGUAUUAGUGAGAAUCGUUUCUUCCUCAUUGGAUGUUUCCAGAGUGCACGAACUGAAAAUAAAAGAAGAUGCUGAAAGAUGGGAUAAAAAGAUGAGACUUGAUGGGGAUAGGUUAUCAAUUAGUGGAUUUGAAUGUGUGGUGGAGUGUGCAUUUAAGGCAAGGAUCAUCCACCAUCUAACUUCCCUCCAAGAAAUACAAAUCUCAUACUGUUCAUCUGUUGUAUCCUUGGGGGGCAAUUGUUUACCCAAAUCUUUGCAAAAGCUCAAAAUCUUUAAUUGCCGCCAAAUUGAAUUACUCCAGCAACAACACAAGUAUGAUUUGGUACAUCUACAAAUAUAUCAAAGCUGUGCUUCACUGACUUCAUUGUCGUUGGAUGCCUUCCCCAAUCUCGAGAAUCUGGAGAUAGAAUGGUGUUCAAAUCUGGAAUCAGUUUCAAUGUCAGAGCCACCACAGGCUGCUCUUCAACAUCUCACCAUCUCUAACUGCCCCCAGUUUGUGUCAUUUCCGGAAGAAGGACUGGCUACACCCAACUUGACUCAUCUCAAUGUUAGCAGGUGCUCGAAGUUGGAGGCAUUGCCACGUGGCAUGAAUACUCUUCUCCCAAAUUUAGAGUCUCUCGACAUAGCAGGUUGCCCAAACAUUUGCAGGUGGCCAGAGGGUGGUUUGCCGGCUAAACUGAAAGAGCUUAGGAUAGGAGAAUGCAAGGAACAACUGAAAGGUCUAUCAUGGAUGGGCAACUUGGACAACCUCACUCAUCUCACCAUCUCAGGUCAUGGCAGUGACAACAUAAUAGAGUCAUACCCAGAGGUGGGUUGGCUGCCUCGCCUUCCCUCCGUUACCACUCUACAUAUUCAAGACUUUCAUAAUCUGGAGACAUUGGAGUGCAACCAGCUUCUUCGCCUCACCUCCCUCCAACAACUACACAUUUCAUACUGUCCAAAGCUGAAGAAUAUGGAAGGAGAAAAGCUGCCUUCCUCCCUCCAACAAUUACACAUUUCAUGGUGUGAGAAGCUGGAGAAUAUUGCAGGAGAAAAGCUGCCUCCCUCUCUCUUACUACUUCAACUUGAUUUCUGUGGUUUGCUGGGCAAACACUGCAAGAACAAGCAUCAACAAAUUUGGUCCAAAAUUUCCCACAUCCCCACCAUUCAAGUCAAUGGCAUACAAAUUCUCUGAGUAGAUCUUUCUGAACAGGUAGCUUGUGCACAUAUCGAGAUGUAAUCCUAUACAUUGGCUACACAUCUUCAUUUAAUUCUGUGUUCAUUUGAGGUAGUAAUUAAGCUGGAUUCAUGUAUUAGGAAACAGAAACUCUGUUUUCUGAUUUUGGCUUCAAGUUAUUGAAAAGCAAAGACAUGAUGGAGCAAGUUAGUGGCACUUAUUACUGAAAAGGUUUGGUUGUUGUUGAUUUCCCAAGGCGACGAAGGUAUGUAACUAAUGCAGUCAAGAUGCAAAGAAUAUGCUUUCCAUAUUUGAAGAUGAUAAUCAUAUACCUGAAGUAGUUGAAGAAGUUGUAGUGAUGCCAUCAGCAACAAUUUCGUUCCUAUCAACUUCACUCAAUGGAAGUACAUAUUGAGGUUUGGUAACCAUAUCGAAAUUAUCAUCAUUCAAUCCAAAGUUCAUCAGAAGAGGUGCUCUGUAAUUUUAACUUCAGUCUCUAUAAAUCUACAGUUGGGGAGUGGUUCAAUGGUGGUUUGGGCUGAAAUUUUGACAGCAAGUUCUGGAUGUACUUUUUCGUUCCAAAUGGUUGGAGGAUUAAGAUAAGAUUUGGAGGGUGAGAUAUGGCUUGUGUGCGCAAAGUAACUCUGGUUUUGUAAAUUUUUCAUGUUUUUGGUUACAUUUAUAUGCUGUGGUGCUUGAUUGUUUGACUUAAUGUAAGCAUUUGAUUUGUUUACUUAUUUGAGAUUUUCUUGUA